RNAcentral lists this unclassified non-coding RNA (3288 nucleotides) under Amphibalanus amphitrite. Its description in RNAcentral is "transmembrane channel-like protein 7, transcript variant X2". Lineage: Eukaryota; Metazoa; Arthropoda; Thecostraca; Balanomorpha; Balanidae. The record is from RNAcentral.
GAACGGUCGCUGCGGACGGCGCGGAUAUUUUGAUUUCGGACCAUAUAUGGGAUAUAUGGGACCGUGGGUAUGAUAUCUCUAUAUAUCUUAUGUUUUCCACAGACUUUCUGGCCUUGGACUUUACCGUGACUGUUUUCGGAAUGAGUACCUAACCAAGGUGGACAGUAAAGCACCAAAAUUAGGGAAAAAUGGUGAAUACUACUGGUAAUUCCGAACCUACAACGCCACAAGCAGCAGCAAAUGUUGAUCGAAGGCGCAUCACCCGAGAAGUGGGCAGGACUGCACGGCCGAGCGGCGGCCCCUGCCCCAGUGUUCGCUGCGAUAACUUGGAGACGGACAAUGAUCGCGCAGAAACGCCGCCGCCGCUCCGCGGCAGCGGCGUGCAGCUGGCCCGGGACGGCGUGCCGGCCGCUGACUCUAGCCAGAUGAGACUACCCAGUCGCUCCCGGCCCAGUAUAGAGAACUGCGGCUUCGCCCGCGCCAUGAUGAAACAGAUGCCCUCCAAAAUGGCCCUGUCCGCCAGCGGUAUCGCCAACCUGGGGUACGGCCGCUCGGCGCCGGACGUUACCAUGACAGGAGCCGGCCUGGGCACAUCGUCCACCAGCUUCUUCCGCGCCACACCCUCCCUCAUCAGGUACGAGAAGGACGUGGCGAGGCUCGCCGAAAUCAUUGAGGCGGAAGUGAGGGCGCAGAAGAACUCAAUGUUCAUCGAGGACCGGAAAAUCACGCGGCUGCGGGAGCUCCCCGUCAGUCUGACGGUGAAGCGCAAGGUCCGCCAGCGGCUGGAGACUAACCUGAUGGAACGGAAGGCGCUCGUCAAGCAGACGCGACUGAUGCGCUGGAGCGCAGACGCCGGCCGCGCCCUCGUGCUGACCAAACGGUACAUGGCCGAGGCCCACGGUCUCGUUCACAUCUGGCACGAGCAGAUGAAGACGAUCGAGGGCAACUUUGGCCAGAACGUCGGCCUCUACUUCCGCUUCAUGCGCUGGCUGCUGAUCGUCAACAUGGAGGUCCUCCUCAUCAGUUUCCUGUUCCUGGUGGUGCCCCAGCUGGUGAUGACCAUCUACGAUCCCGAGGCCGCCCGUCGCAGCGCUCUCGGACUCCCGGAUCCGAUCCAUGCGCGAAUGGAGAUGGAGAACAGAACGAUACCGAACCUGCACUUCUUCCUGAGUAACCUGCUUACCGGACAGGGGUGGCUGUACUCGACGCCCAUGUACUACGGCUACUACUACCGCGACUCGAUCCGGACGUCGUCCUACACGCACUACCACAUGCCGUCCGCCUACCUAGCCAUCACCACCUUCUGCAUCACCUACCAGCUGAUGAAGCUGGCCACCAGCACGGCGCGCUCCUACCGUAAGAACUUUAUCGACGUGUCCACCGACACCAGCGGCAACGUGGCCAACCUGAUCUUCGCCGGGUGGGACGCUCGCGUCACAUCCCAGGAGCUGGCCGAGCUGAAACGCACCGGACUCUACCAGGCAUUCCAGCGGAAGCUCAAGAAGAAGGAGGAGCUGCACGCGGCCGAGCAGGCUGCUGCGGCCGGGGAAGACCCGGCGGCGGCCGCCCAGCGCCGGCGUGCUCAGCUGUACACGGUGCUGGGCCGGCUGGCCAGCAACCUGCUGGUGGUGGCCGUGCUGGGCGCCGUGGCCGUGCUCACCUGGAACGUCAUGGGCAUGGACGCGACGCUGGGCCCGGACGGCAGCUUCAUCUCCCUCCUGGGCUCCGCCAUCAUGAUCAGCGCCUCCAUGGCGCUCUUCCCAAUGCUCUUCCAGUUCCUCGGCAUGCUGGAGAACUUCAAACACCCCCGAGCGCUCAUGUUCAUCACGUUGAUCAGGAUGGUGGUGAUGGCCAUCAUCAUCCUGGGCACCAUCGUGAUCUACUGGGUGCAGCAGGUCAACAACCGCUCCACCGAUACUGACUCGGGCGCCCGGGACGAGUGUUGGGAGAAUGAGGUGGGAUCGGAGCUGUACCAGCUGAUGAUCGUCGACCUGUUCUUCAUGUUCGUCUUCGAGCUGGGACUCGAGUUCGCCAGAAAAGUGGCACACGAGCACGGUCUCUGGGUGGAGGAGCCGCACUUUGACAUCCCACGGAACACCAUGUUCCUGAUCUACAGUCAGACACUGGUGUGGACGGGCGCCUACUUCAGUCCGCUGCUGUCGCUCGUGGGAUCCGCCAAACUCGCCAUCAUGUUCUACGUUCGAAAGUGGUCCAUGUUCCGUCACUGCACGCCCCAGUCGCGCUCCGUGAGGGCCUCCCAGACGCAGACCCUGUUCAGAAUGGUGGCCUUCAUCGUGUGCUUUCUGGCCGCCUGCUUCACCGGCUACAUCGUCACCAAUGUGCGUCCGUCGGCUACCUGCGGUCCGUUCCAGCAGAAAUCACUGCCCUCCGUAGUCGUCAACGAUACUUUCACAAGAUGGAAGGACGAGGGUCACACGGCGCCCUACACCAUGGCUAUGUACUCUAGCCGACCGGGCGUGGUGGCUGUGUGGCUGCUCAUCUUCAGUGUUGUGGCCUACUACCUGCGCUCUCUGGCGCUGGCCCGUCAGGAGAUGAUUGUCCUGCUGCGCGGACAGCUAGUGCUGGAGGGACAGGAUAAGGUCAUGCUGCUGCAGCUCAUCGACGAGGCCGCCACGCGACUGCAGGGGAUGCGUCGUAUCAACCGUCCCGGCCUGCCAGACGUCGAGGAAGAGGACGAUGACCAGCAAGUACUCCCCGUGGACGACCCGCGCGCCAUCAUCAAGGUGCUCUUCGAGCCGGCUAAAGAUGAUGAACCGGAACCGGAGGCCCAGCCGCCGCCGCCGCCGCCGCCCCCGCCAUCCCCGCACUCACUCUCAGCAUAAACCGAUACCUCCGCCGCGCGGCAGCGGCCGCUGAGCUGGCCGAGGCGCGGUUGGCGGUGGAGCAGGCGGGAAAAUCGCCGCCGCGCCUCUCCGUGGUGCGCCGCACACCGUUCCCGCUGGGUACGACCGGCACGGGCGGCCCCAGCAGCCAGAUACGGCGACCCAGCAAGGUCACAAAGGCGGACGAGAAACGCCAGGCUGCAACCUCAGCAGCUAAAUACUGGUCGCGGCACGCCCAGGAUGACGAAAAGCCACCUCAAAAAUGAACGGACACCGGGCGCCGGAGCUGUGUUGAACGGCGCCAUGGGAGGAAAUGUUCGAGACAAUCGACCUUUGUUUAUUGAUGGCGGUGCGUGUGUCACAUGUUGGAUUCCCAGCGCUUUAUAAGUACAUGCAUCGUUCGCUGUAUAAAAUGUAUAAUAAAAUAAUAUGUCGUAGUGUCAUA